Molecule: non-coding RNA, 138 nt
Organism: Equus caballus (horse)
Lineage: Eukaryota; Metazoa; Chordata; Mammalia; Perissodactyla; Equidae
Source: Rfam
GAGAGACAACAGAUUUACAUCCCAGACACUUUCCCUGGGCCAGAGCAGCUGCCACUGCAGAAUCUACUCACGUACUUUUUUUCUUCCCUCUCCUUCUUGGAGUUGAUCAGAAUAGAAGUUGGGGAGGUGAGGGGGGAG